UCCAGUGCUACCUUUAAUUUCUGUUCAAAGCUGUCAGCUGGUUUAGGUGCUGAUAAAAUGUAGGCUUAUACCUAAGCUUGUCUAUGUUUAAAUGUUUAGCUUGUGGUCUUUUACACUUACGAUAAAGAGCACAAGUAGAAAAACAUGUAUAUUAUAGAUAAAUUACUAGGUUCCUAAGUCCAAAAUAAGACCUACAGUGCCCUGCAAGGAGAAUCUCAACAGUUAGCUGCAAAUAAUUAUUCCUUGGUUUCCUUAUCCAUAAAAUGGCAGUACGGUUAUUGUCUAAAAUUAUAAAGCUUGGAGUUCCCGUCGUGGCGCAGUGGUUAACGAAUCCGACUAGGAACUAUGAGGUUGCGGGUUCGGUCCCUGCCCUUGCUCAGUGGGUUAACAAUCCGGCGUUGCCGUGAGCUGUGGUGUAGGUUGCAGACACGGCUCGGAUCCCGCGUUGCUGUGGCUCUGGUGUAGGCCAGUGGCUACAGCUCCGAUUGGACCCCUAGCCUGGGAACUUCCACAUGCCGUGGGAGUGGCCCAAGAAAUAGCAAAAAGACAAAAAUAAAUAAAUAAAUAAAUAAAUAAAAUAAAAUAAAAUUAUAAAGCUAAAAAGAGUUCAUACACGUCAAUCACUUAAAAUAGUGUCUGGCACAUAGGAAGUGCUCUGCGGAAGUUCACCACUGUUACUACAGCUAGCAUCUUCACUAAUCACAUAAUUCGUGGCUUUCUAGUCUGAUGUCUGUGUCUGUAGUCCUACCUCCAGUAUUUAAUGCUGCAGUCAGCUGGAAAAACAGAACUUUAGGUUGUGAUCAAGACAUAUCCAUGUACACAAGGCAAGGCCUCUGAGUGUGAUCACAUUCUUCUUGGAACCACGGUGUGUGUUUCAAAAGAAACACUCAUCAUUUUCAUGAUAAAGAUCAUUUGACCCAUUAAUGUGUAUAGUCAGAAGGGUUUAUAAAUAAGCUAAAAAUGGAGUUCCCGUCGUGGCUCAGGAUCGAACCCUCAACCUCGUGGUUGCUAGUCUGAUUAGUUAACUACUGAGCCACUACGGGAACUCCUCGUGUGUCUUUUUUUCUCUAACAUUUUGAAACAUGUAUUUUUGUCUAUUAAUAAAUCCAUUUGUUAUAAGGAGGACUAGGUGUAAUUAGGUGUGUAAUAACAGCAUCCUGUAAUUAUUUUUAUGAUCAUCAGCUGUUCAGAUUUUUUGUUUGUUUUUCAAGAGCGUGACAGGCACUUCUAGUUGCUUCCCAAGAAGAAAAGAUUAAGGUUUCCAUAGUAGAUGAAAACUAUUUUUCCCCAAUUGUCUAAAACCAGUUUAUAAAUACACUAUAUUUUAGCUAAAAACUCAAGGUAUGUAAAUGUUGACAAUUUUGAACUCUGAAAACCUGAUUACCAAAUAGACAAAAAGAGAUUUUCUUUUAGAAAAGCAUAAUGGCCCUCCAGAAAUUCAGCACAAUGUGUCUAUCCUUUAUUCAUUAGAGUUUAUGUUAGGGAAUGUUGAGCCUGACAGAACUGCGUUCAUAUGUGGCCUCCAGGAUGUUAACUCUGGGACCCCAGCAAAAUACUUGAGUUUCUAGGCCUCAGCUUUUCUACAUGUUAAAUGUCAAAUGAGUGAAAGUUCACAGUAUCAUCCAAAUAUUUAAAGAUUUCAAAUGGUUUCCUUUUUUUCAUUCUUAAACUUUGCUCUAAAUAUUUCAAUAUAUUCAAUUAUUCCCAAUAAUUAAAAAUAAACCAAAGGAGACAAAAUUAAUUAUAUUUACUUCUUUGAUUACUUUAAAUCAGGUUGAAAUGAAAUAAUUUCAGGAACCACAAUUAUUAUAUUUUAAUACAUAUUAUAAAGAUACAUAAUGGUAACAUAAUAAAAAUAUACAUCUCUCCAAGAUAAUGUUGAAGAAGAGUAUAAAAAGUCUGAAAUAAUCUUCAACUCGGGUAAAUAAUCAGGGACAGAGCCAAGAAAAAACAAGUGUGUGUCAACAACAUAGCAUUUUUGCAGUAAAUACUUACAGAAUUAUUUCAUGCUUUGGUCAGUGUUUCAUAAGUAAAGCUGAAAUAUAGGACAUAUUUACAAAGUUAAAUACAGCAACCCCCCACACUGCAUUUUCUUUUCUCCCCUAUUAAAUGGGGAAAAAAAUUUAAAUUGGAGACUCUGUUUUUGAAAUUUUUUGUUUAAUUCUUUGAUUUUGAAAUAAUUUCAGGUUUUUAAAAGUUGCAAAAAAGAGUACAAUGUUUUUUCACAAAGAAUUCCCAUAUGCCCUUCAGCUGCUUCCUCAAAUACUAACAUUUUAUAUUACCACCAGUAACCAAAAUCAGAAAAAAAGUAAUACUUAUAUUGUUACUUAAUCUUCAGACCUUUAUUCAUAUUUCAUUAAUUGUCCUACUAAUGUCCUUUUAGUCUAUAGUCCAGUACAGAAUCCCGCAUUGCACAGGGUUGUCAAGCCUCCUUAGCUUCCUUUAACUUGGUGUGGUUCCUCUGUUCAUCUUGAAUAGUCUUGACACCUUUGAAGCGUACUGGUCAGUAAAUUUGUACCAUGGCCCUUUAAUACUGGUCAGUACCUUUGUACCCUGCCCCUCAAAAGUGGCGAAGCAUCCUUCCCAGUACAUUGGGAGCACAAAAUAUCCAUAUGCCUCAUUACUGAUGUUGUCUACUUUGAUCACUUGGUUAAAAUGUCCACUUUUUCCACUGUGAGUUACUAUAUUACCUGUUGUAAUUAGAAUCUUGUAAUGAGGAGUUCCUGUCAUGGCUCAGCGGAAACGAAUCGAAUCCGACCAGGAACCAUGAGGUUGUGGGUUCGAUACAUGGUUUCGCUCGGUGUGUUAAGGAUCCGGCAUUGCCGUGAGCUGUGGUGUAGGUCGCAGACACAGCUUGGAUCCUGCGUUGCUGUAGUUCUGGUGUAGGCUGAUGGCAACAGCUCCUAUUAGACUCCUAGCCUGGGAACCUCCAUAUGCCACGGGAGCAGCCCUAAAAAUACAAAAAAAAAAAAAAAAAAAAA
RNAcentral lists this long non-coding RNA (2981 nucleotides) under Sus scrofa (pig). RNAcentral's name for it is "lncRNA (ENSSSCG00045028894.1)". Lineage: Eukaryota; Metazoa; Chordata; Mammalia; Artiodactyla; Suidae. The record is from RNAcentral.